CAGUCCGCCCUUUGUACUGAACCCGACGCCGAGAUGUCCACCGUCUCCAUAUGUCAACACCUGCUGCUAUCCGGUGGACAAGAAAUGCUACACCUCCGGUUGCGGUGGUACAUACUAUGGUGGUUGUUGCUGGUAGAAAAAAAAACCCAGUCAACCCACAUAAAUCUUUCCUAAUCGAUUUUUGGAUGGCUGUUCGCUAGCUGUCUACAGAAUGCUGCCAGCAGCUCAACUGGGAUGUGCUGCUCCUAUGUGCCUCAACAAUGAAUGAUUAUAUAAGGAAACGGCGUACGGCCAAGCAAAUACUUCUGCGACGGGCUCUUAGCAAGGGUGUCCGUAAUGGCCGUGACACCGAAACAACCACACCGCUGGGUCCCUUGUCAAAGACUGGCAUUACGGUGCUAUCCUCGCUGGCGAAGGAUCCCAAACGGGUGAGGACCAUGCAGCGUACCUUUUCCCGAUCUAAAUCGAGUCGCGAGAGAUCGGACAGACGACCCAAAUCUCAAACUAGACCGAAAACCCUAAAGAAUGCCCAAGUGUAUCCCCUGCUGAAGACUGAUUCCCGUUCUUGGAGGAAAAUCAAAACUUCUGAGGGUCUAUAUAAGACCCACUUGAUGGAAGGUAAGUCCGGCGUUAGUCUGGGCGGUGCACCUUCCAGGGGUAGCAGUCGAUCACGAUACAGUUCCUCUGCCUAUCCAUCCACCUGGGCUCUGGAUGUCCGGAACCGUGAGGAGCAAGCCGAGGAGACGAGCAACAGCCUGGCGGAGGUUACCAACUGUACGCGUCUCAAUCGCACGCCCUACGACCAUCAGCUGAGCACGCCCCUCAAAUCCGACCAUUCCGUUCAGUGUUCCAUGAGGGCCGCUGCCAGACGACAGCGGCAGAGACGGACAAACCAGCCACGCGAGAUGUGCGUGGCUCAGACUCAGACGAUGCCCAAACUAUUUCAACCCAAGCUACUCAAGCACAAGCCACUGAAGAAGUCCGUUAAGCAUAUGUUUACGUCCAUGGUUGGGGAAAAGCUUCUUGAGCGAAGCAGGAGUCCAUCCAAGACGAGUCAGGAUAGUUUGAGGAUACGAAAAACAAGGCACAGACAUUACAGUGGCGAGGAAAUGAAACGUUCGCGCGAGUCGGCCAGAGCAAAACCCACUGCCAGGCAAAGCCAAAGCAAAACCCCAAGAAAGUGCGAUCCUACCGACUAUGGGGGGUAUACGCCAUCGGAUGUGAGUCUCGAACUAGCUACCUCCCAAAAUCACUCAAUCACUGAGCUACGGCGCGGUACUGGCGGUAGGCUUGAUGAUAGCCGUUGGAUAAUGAAAUUGCCCACUGAGAGGGACAUAGAGAAGUAUAUACACGACGCGGCUGUCGAAGACUGUAAGUCCUGUUCGGCACGAGACCGCAUGUCAUAUCCUGAGUCCUACAAUUAUGAUGAGUCUACGGGGAGAUCUUCCUCUCCUGGUAGUAGUUGCUCGAAAGACUGCAUGUGCGCCAAAGGGGGCAAGAAAAGAACCUCGUGCACGUGUGAAUCUCGUGUCACCGAAGGCAGCAGCAGAAGAACUAACCAGGCUACAAAGAAAAAUAGCCCAAGGCACACACCAAUUUCUCGUGGAUCAUCUCAGUCAAGUGCAAGCAACGAGCCAAGAAGUCCACCCAGAAAAACGAGGGACAAACGAAAACAAGAAAGUUUAUGCAGUCUAGAUAGAAAUACCGGAAAGACACAGGCCAAGAGUCGAGGAAAUCGAGGCAGUGUCCAUGCUUCUUUAAAUACUGAUAGUCAAGCAAUGUCACGAGGACCCACUGAUUACGGAAGAGCAUCUACGAAAUCUACAGAUUCCAGCCCAUGUCGAAGCAAGAGCAAUGCAAUUGAAAAAACCAGUAAGAAUCGAGACAAAGGCAACUCCGAGAGACGUGGUACCCACAGAGAAAAGCCUACGCAGUAUGGCAACAGCAGUGUGGAGGCUAUUCCCGUGAAAACUAGUGCUGAAAACCUACGCAAGAAAACAUCUCAGAUGAUUUCGCAAAAGAAUAGUGUGCAUUCCAUCAAUUCAUUUUCCAGGCAACCUCGAACGGAUGCCUGCAAAGACCCCAAAUGCAAACGAAAGUGUCGACGAUGUGCGGAUGCCUCCACUGUGACCUCAAAGCCACUGAUUACCGCUGCUGAAACUAAUAAGGCAUCAACCGAUAAUCCUAAUCGAGGCGCAACCAACAGUUGUGGCAUUUGCCCAGUGACCAAAACUUGUGAUCCCAAAUGCGUUGAGGCAUUCGCUCAAACAUCCCAGUCUAAGAUAGUGCGACCAAGCCGAAGUCCUACUUCGAAGGAUUUUCCAAACAGGUCUCCAGACUCCCCUCAAAGCGAGUUAACGACGUCUCCAGAUCCACAAAGUGUGGGCAGGUCUACCAAUCAAAGUCGUAGAGGGUCUACAACCAAGCGAACGACACAACAGCAGGGGCCAUGUGGUUGUGGCCGCCCUAAUUGUGGGUGUAAAUACUCGGAGGCAUGCACUCAAACAUCAUCUCGUAGUCCCAAAAAGUCAUCUACGAAAGUACCAAAAAAAAAUAAUUCGGGGAUAGGUGAGUGCGAUAUGAGUCGGAUUAUUGCGAUCCUACAAAAGGCUCUGGAGGGUCUGGAAAUGGAGCAGAGAGCCCGUGGGCGCGGCUCAACAAGUCAUCUAGUAGAUAGGGAUCGCUCGAGUGAAAGCUCAGAUAUCAUCGAUACCAAUGUGGACAACUGCUAUGAGAGCGCAGCCACCAAUUGGACAUAUACAGUCCAAAAUGGGGUAAGGGGAUUCGAUCCCUUUCAGUGUAAUAUGUGCUAUUACCCCGAAAGCAUGUGUGGUGGAGCCGCAAAUAUCACUGAACCAUCAAUACCUUUUAUAAACGGCGAAUCACUGCGUCCAGAGACCAAGCAAAUUCUGAAAUAUAUAGACAAAAUAAAUGGAAAAAUGGAUGCAGACAGGACACGUAACGACUCAGACCGAUCAAAAGCGAACAAAACCAGAGAAGAACAGCUUCGACCAUGGACCAGAAAUCAAACGGGUAGAGGACUAUGAGCAAUUUGUAAUAGGCCAAAGCAAAGAUGGGAGAGAAACUCUUUAUUCAAGUUCCUCUAAAAGCUCCCACACUCGUGAGAAGAACCUCUGGCUGCAAGUAUGUGCCAAUCAGACAAGAAAAAGAAUCGAACUAUAAACUAUGCCUGCAUUCCAAAGGAAGAACAGCC
RNAcentral lists this unclassified non-coding RNA (3214 nucleotides) under Drosophila pseudoobscura pseudoobscura. RNAcentral's name for it is "GA25546". The record is from RNAcentral. Lineage: Eukaryota; Metazoa; Arthropoda; Insecta; Diptera; Drosophilidae.